CGCGGCCUAUCAGCUUGUUGGUGGGGUAACGGCCUACCAAGGCAGCGACGGGUAGCUGGUUUGAGAGAACGAUCAGCCACACUGGGACUGAGACACGGCCCAGACUCCUACGGGAGGCAGCAGUAGGGAAUCUUGCGCAAUGGGCGAAAGCCUGAUGCAGCGACGCCGCGUGGGGGAUGAAGGCCUUCGGGUUGUAAACCCCUUUCAGGAGGGACGAAGCGAAAGUGACGGUACCUCCAGAAGAAGCCCCGGCCAACUACGUGCCAGCAGCCGCGGUAAUACGUAGGGGGCGAGCGUUGUCCGGAUUUAUUGGGCGUAAAGAGCUCGUAGGCGGCUCAACAAGUCGGCCGUGAAAGCCCGAGGCUUAACCUCGGGACGCCGGUCGAAACUGUUGUGGCUAGGGUCCGGUAGAGGAGAGUGGAAUUCCCGGUGUAGCGGUGAAAUGCGCAGAUAUCGGGAGGAACACCAGUAGCGAAGGCGGCCCUCUGGGCCGGCACCGACGCUGAGGAGCGAAAGCUAGGGGAGCAAACAGGAUUAGAUACCCUGGUAGUCCUAGCCGUAAACGAUGGGUACUAGGUGUGGCGGAUUCAUUGACAUCUGCCGUGCCGAAGCUAACGCAUUAAGUACCCCGCCUGGGGAGUACGG
RNAcentral lists this ribosomal RNA (645 nucleotides) under uncultured bacterium. RNAcentral describes it as "bacterial SSU rRNA". It matches the Rfam family "Bacterial small subunit ribosomal RNA", at positions 232 to 885 of the family's 1533-position model. The record is from RNAcentral.